CAGCAACAGAAGUUCUGCAUUUGAGUCUUAGCUGAUUGGAACAGCAGGGGAGACAGUGAAAUUAGUAACAGGCAAAGAGAUGCUCCACGUUGGUCUUCAUCAUCAUUUAAAAAAUUGCCUUUUGAGUGGAAGGGGAAGACGUGUUUUAAAAAGAACUUAACUUGUGUAAGCAAAUCCAGGGCUGCCACUUGAGAGUGCAGUUCUGCAGAGAAACACCUAAAGGAGAAGCUUCAUCUGAAGUGGCCUUGACCACCUUCCUCCCUGGGUGCUUCCUACCACCACAUUAACAGCGAUGAUCCAAUGGUGACGUGAUGGACCGUGACCGGAGUGGUGCGUCUCGGUGCUGUGAUGCAGGCCCAGUCAUCUCCCUCAGAAAGUCAUUCCCUGUGCAUGGCUGGCCUGAGCCAACUUACUCCGUGGCAACGUGCCCAUUGUUUGCUGUGAAUUUAGAACCUGAAGCUAAGGAUGAAAGCCCUUGUCAGCUGUGCAGUACCAGUGGUCAGAUGGUCUGUCGCAUCUUGUAGGCUUAACAGUUUUGCUGAUAAAUCUAACUCGAUGCUAAUGGAUGUGCUGUAAUACAAUAUGGAACAGAAGCUAGGACCCCGUGGCCUGUCAUGGACCAUGUAAUUUAUGACUGAAGCAUCUCAGGUAUUUAUGCUGACAAGAGAAAUACUUGAUGUUUCCUGCUAAUGUGCUAGCCCACUCUUCUGAUUCUAGAUGUUUUUUUUGGCCUAUUUUAUUUCGUCUCUCUCCUUUACCAUUCCUGCCACCUACUCUGUCACUCAGAGCUGCCAGUGCUCUUUUGCUUCUGCUGCCCCAUUUAACAGUGAGAGCAACUGGAGGACUGCAAUGGUUUGCCUGGAAAUAAAAUAGAUUCUCUCAUCA
This 885-nucleotide long non-coding RNA is filed under the name Anser brachyrhynchus (Pink-footed goose). RNAcentral describes it as "lncRNA (ENSABRG00000015605.1)". Lineage: Eukaryota; Metazoa; Chordata; Aves; Anseriformes; Anatidae. The record is from RNAcentral.